UACGUAGGGUGCAAGCGUUGUCCGGAAUUAUUGGGCGUAAAGAGCUCGUAGGCGGUUUGUCGCGUCGAAUGUGAAAACCCGGGGCUCAACUCCGGGCCUGCAUUCGAUACGGGCAGACUAGAGUUCGGUAGGGGAGUCUGGAAUUCCUGGUGUAGCGGUGAAAUGCGCAGAUAUCAGGAGGAACACCGGUGGCGAAGGCGGAUCUCUGGGCCUUACCUGACGCUCAGGUGCGAAAGCUAGGGGAGCGAACAGG
This 253-nucleotide ribosomal RNA is filed under the name uncultured bacterium. Its description in RNAcentral is "partial 16S ribosomal RNA". It matches the Rfam family "Bacterial small subunit ribosomal RNA", at positions 524 to 776 of the family's 1533-position model. The record is from RNAcentral.